GGGUGAGUAACACGUGGGCAACCUGCCCAAAAGAGGGGGAUAACACUUGGAAACAGGUGCUAAUACCGCAUAACCAUAGUUACCGCAUGGUAACUAUGUAAAAGGUGGCUAUGCUACCGCUUUUGGAUGGGCCCGCGGCGCAUUAGCUAGUUGGUGGGGUAAAGGCUUACCAAGGCAAUGAUGCGUAGCCGAACUGAGAGGUUGAUCGGCCACAUUGGGACUGAGACACGGCCCAAACUCCUACGGGAGGCAGCAGUAGGGAAUCUUCCACAAUGGGCGAAAGCCUGAUGGAGCAACGCCGCGUGGGUGAAGAAGGUCUUCGGAUCGUAAAACCCUGUUGUUAGAGAAGAAAGUGCGUGAGAGUAACUGUUCACGUUUCGACGGUAUCUAACCAGAAAGCCACGGCUAACUACGUGCCAGCAGCCGCGGUAAUACGUAGGUGGCAAGCGUUAUCCGGAUUUAUUGGGCGUAAAGGGAACGCAGGCGGUCUUUUAAGUCUGAUGUGAAAGCCUUCGGCUUAACCGGAGUAGUGCAUUGGAAACUGGGAGACUUGAGUGCAGAAGAGGAGAGUGGAACUCCAUGUGUAGCGGUGAAAUGCGUAGAUAUAUGGAAGAACACCAGUGGCGAAAGCGGCUCUCUGGUCUGUAACUGACGCUGAGGUUCGAAAGCGUGGGUAGCAAACAGGAUUAGAUACCCUGGUAGUCCACGCCGUAAACGAUG
RNAcentral lists this ribosomal RNA (720 nucleotides) under uncultured bacterium. Its description in RNAcentral is "bacterial SSU rRNA". It matches the Rfam family "Bacterial small subunit ribosomal RNA", at positions 104 to 811 of the family's 1533-position model. The record is from RNAcentral.